GAUGAACGCUGGCGGCGUGCUUAACACAUGCAAGUCGAACGGGAAACCUUUUAUUGAAGCUUCGGCAGAUUUAGCUGGUUUCUAGUGGCGGACGGGUGAGUAACGCGUGGGUAACCUGCCUUAUACGGGGGGAUAACAGUCAGAAAUGGCUGCUAAUACCGCAUAAGCGCACAGAGCUGCAUGGCUCAGUGUGAAAAGCUCCGGUGGUAUAAGAUGGACCCGCGUUGGAUUAGCUGGUUGGUGGGGUAACGGCCCACCAAGGCGACGAUCCAUAGCCGGCCUGAGAGGGUGAACGGCCACAUUGGGACUGAGACACGGCCCAGACUCCUACGGGAGGCAGCAGUGGGGAAUAUUGCACAAUGGGGGAAACCCUGAUGCAGCGACGCCGCGUGAAGGAAGAAGUAUCUCGGUAUGUAAACUUCUAUCAGCAGGGAAGAUAAUGACGGUACCUGACUAAGAAGCCCCGGCUAACUACGUG
Molecule: ribosomal RNA, 478 nt
Filed under: uncultured bacterium
Lineage: Bacteria
Description: partial 16S ribosomal RNA
Rfam family: Bacterial small subunit ribosomal RNA
Source: RNAcentral